AAAACACAAGGGAUACAAGUGUUUAGUUUCAGUUUAUUUUAGCUUCUUGAAGACGGGUUAGUUCCUUGCACUUCUUUAAGGUUGGUUUAGGCGAUUAGUUCUAUGCUGCUUUGGAUAGGCUGUUCUAGCUAAGUUUAGGGCCACCUCGUGGAGCAGCAGGCGCCCAGCCCAAAAGGCCCAAAGAAGCCGUGGCAAGGGGCCGUGCUCAGCGCUGCAGAGGAAGGCAAAAAACCCCCGGAGACGCUUGCUGUCCCACCUGGGGGGGAAAAAAAGCCUUCCUCCCCCCAGCUGCGGGGCACGAGAGGCCAUCUUCCUGGUGCUUGAGCAGCAGGCAGGAACCGAGCCAAAAGGGCCCAGAGGAGCUGUGCAAAGUGGUCAUGCUCAAUGCUGCAGAGGAAGGCAAAAAACCCCCGGGGACCCGUGCCAAUCUGCCCCGGGGGAAAAAAUUCCUUCCUGACCCCAGUGCUGGCGAUCGGCUGUUCCCUGAGCAUGUGAGCCAGACCUGGCUCCUUGUCCCACAGGCUGCUCACGCCCCCCAGGACCUGCCCAAGCCAUAGCCUGUCCUACCUUGAGCCGGAGCCAUCUCCCGGACUUCCGAGAGUGCCCAGAUGCCUCUGAGCUGAUGGACCUUGGGGGCAAGACUCCUUCCUGUGCCUGGUGGGACACCAGUGGGUGUUCCAAGCACAGAAGAAAUUCCCUUGGUCUCUCCGCCGCUACCCAGUUGAAAAGGAUUUCCAUCCAUGAGCUGAGCUUGGAAGGUGGCCCUGCCAGCAGAUCACCUUGCAGUGGAGAACCUCCAGCAGCCUCAUGCAAGCUCUUCCUCCCUCAGCCCCUGCCCUGUGAUUCCACCAGCUCCUCAAGUGCUUCCUGUGGGAUGUGUUGGGGCUGCCCCCGGGCCAGCUCUGGCAGUGGACAGGGGACCCGGCUGCUCCUUUUGGUCCUGCUCGGGGCAUUGUGAGCGCUGCAUUGCCGGGUGCUGGCAUUGUGACACGGGGGUGACAGAGCCACGCGUGUGCAGCCCCGCCCACCCCAACUCCGCCCAGCACCCUAUGGAGGAAGCCUUUGGGGUGCUGGCCCCAAAUCAGUCCCUGUCAUCUACAAGACAGGGGAGUAAUCAACCUAACCGUGUCCCUCUUUUGCCAAAACACAGUGUGGAUUUGUUGCCAGUCCAGCCUUACUUCCAGUACUUCUUCCUGCAGCCCUGUUACGAAUUCCUGACCAAACCUGGGAAGAAGAAACAAAAUGCCAGAGAUGAGAUUACUGAAUGCAACAAGAAGACACAACAGAGAUGACGGAGGAAACCAGCAAGAGGGGAAGGAGAGGAGGAGCAGAGGACAGGUAAGCAAACAAGAUCCUUGAAUCUCACCCCAUCCGAGGAGUGAUAGAAGGGUUCCCAAAGCCCAGAUUCUGAAUAAAAAGCAUACCUCGUAAGCUUCUCUCUCCACGUCUCUAAUUUGCUGCUCGGCCUCAGGUCUGCUCUGACAGUAGGCCACAUUUCUCUGCCUCAUUUCAGCAUCUGGAUGCUUCAGAAGAAACGUGUGAGCUGCUGCAAUAGCCUUUGCAAGGUUAUGAGCCUGAAGAGGGAUGGGAAAAAGAGGAAGAGGGGGAAAAGCGUUAACGGGGGAAAAAAAAAAAUCAAAGUUUCCCAGUUUUUGUUGACAAAUUUUCCUGCAGCUUCUAGAUUCCCAGCUUACUUGUACUGAAGCCACGGUCUCGGCAGAUACAAUUGUACACUAGAUCUGAUACAAUUCUUCUCAGUUUUACUAACAGAUGCAUAAUGAGGAAAUUCUUUUUAAUGUUAAAAUCUGUUAUUGUUGCAGAUAGCAUAGGUGAUGACUUGAAGCUAACAGAAGAGCAUUUUUCCCCUCCACUUGCCCUGUUCAUGAAGCUGACAAGGCAGAAGCAUAUACUGUUGCUCCUGUGUGGGAUUAGUCUCACAGCAAUUACUGAGGCCAGCCUGUGACUGCUGACCAGGAGCCAUCACCGCCCGUGUUUACACGGCGUUCGUGUCACUUCUUGGCCCAGCAGCACGCAAGACAAUAUCCCGAUAACGUAUCUGCCUGAUGGUGUUACAGAGUUCGAGCAAACGGCAGGGACCUGUGUGUGAUCUGCCGCAACAGCUUUUGGAAGGUCGUGAGCCUAAACAGGGGUGGGAAGAAGAGGAAAGGGGAAGAAAAAGUUAACUGGGAAAAAAAAAUCCACGUUUCCCACUUUCUGUCAACAAACUCUCCUGCAGCCUCUGUGUUCCCCAGCUGACAUCUAGGGAAGCCACAGUCUCAGCAGAUACAAUGUUACACUAGAACUGAUACAAAUCUUUCCUGUUUUCUUACUAGAGGAGCAUGUUUUCCUAGGAGCAUGUUUGUUUUAAUGUCAAAAUCUGUUAUUGUAGCAGAUCGCAUCAUAAUGAUUGCAAGGUGCAGGUCCCACGGUGUCCUUUGGUCUCCGACGUUCUCCAGUGGCGUCCUGUGGUUUCCAGUGGCGUUCUUCAGUCUCCCACGGUCUCCUGCAAUCUCCGGCGGUCUCCAGCGGGCUUCUGUGUGCAUGCAUUUAUAGCUGUUAUUGUCUAUAUGUACAUAUUUUUCUAAACUCUAUUGUCCAUAGACACACGUAUCGGGAGAAGGAGGGAGAAAACCCAAGUCUUCAUUAUUUGCUGAAAUGUGAAAACCUUUUUCCUUUUUAAACCAAGACACAGAGCCAAUGGUGUCCUGUGGUUUCUAGCGGUGUCCUUCGGUCUCCGACGGUCUCCUGCGGUCUCCGGUGGUCUCGUGUGGGCUUCUGUGUGCACACAUUUAUCGAUUUAAUUUUCUAUUUUUACAUGUCUUUAUAAACUAUACAGUCUGCAUACACGUAUAUAGGGAGAAGGAGAGAAAAUUUGCCUCCGUUUUUAACGCAAACAUUUGUCCAAAGGUGUAAGAACCGUGUCUUUGAAUUCCCACAAUUCCUUCCAACAGACGUUUUAUUUACUUCAAAAGAACCACCUUCAGAGGAGGAAUCCCGCCACGGCACUAUGGGACGAGGAGCAGGAACAGAGGUGACACAGGACCCAUCUCACGUUUGUUUCCACAACUCUCCCCAAGCACAGGAUGUUUCGGAAAGAUGGACCCAAUUGGAAAUCACUCUGCGUGUGAAAUUGGGACCAUGUUUUUGAAACACCCUGUAGUAUUGCUGGAGACACAUCCCCUGGUCCCUCUGCUUCCAAAUUUGCAUGAAGCCUUGUGUCAAGUCCCCAGCUCCAUUCAAGAGAGUCUGGUUAGGCACUGGCAAAACCAGUGUUCGUCCUGUACCAUGUAUGAAUCAAAAUUUGUCGCACACCAUUUUCCCCUUGUAAAAGAAAGGAAAACGAAUAUCCAAAAAAUCCCCAAACGUAUGAAAAUGACCAACCGUACAUCAGUAAAAAGAAAUCAAUAAUUCAAUAAAGAACACUGAUGGUCAACAGAAAACGAAGGGACAAUCCACCGGGUGCUGAUCCAGUGCUCUUUCCCGUGCUGUACUCUUUGCAUUUCACUAGUGGCUUCGCGGUUGUUCCUGUCACCUGCCUGCGCUGACUGGCACAGUCCCUGUCACUGCCCCAGCUGGCACUUCAUCCCCCUCUGCUGCCGGAUGGCACAGCAGCCCUGCAGCUCCGCAGCGAGUCAAGCCCAGCGUUGCAUCUCCCUGCCCUGGUCACGGCGAAGGGCUCCUGUGCCCAGCCCGGCAGGGCAGCGGCAUCAGGUGCUUGCAAAGGUUGCAUUUCACUCCGGGAGCCGAAAGCCGAGUUGUUGGGAGUGACCUGGGAACUCGGCUCGUUUGAGAGCCCAGCCUGCAGCCCCGGGACAGCAGCAGCUGUCUGUCCCUCCUCUGAGAGGCGGGGGCAUUUCUGGAGGGAGCGUCACCCUCCGAGGCAGAGGACAGAGCUUAUGAAGGCUCGGUGCUUCUGGACUCUGACCCGCCACAGGACGUGCAAUGGCCGUGGAAGUGGAAACACCGAUUUUCUUUAGUGCUGUAGUGUGAAGAAUGCAAAACGUGUUUGAAGAGACAGUGCUUUUGUGGCUCCAAGCCAAUUCUAGGGAUGUUCAAGCGUUUCCGGAAACGGGUGUUCUUGCAACAACCUUCUUGUGAAUUAAUGAGAAAAUAGGGUGGGAAAAAAAUCAGCACAUCAAGUAGCUGUGACACACAGCACGGAAAAGUCUCCACCGGCCACUCCACGCACAAGAAAAAGCCCGAUGGAAGGGCGGGGUGGCACAUCGGGGCCACCGGGCUGUCGGCAGCGGUUGUAGCGGCGGCAGCUCCAGGAGGCUGCCCGGCUGGAGAAGAAGGGACAGGGGGCGGGAAGAGUUUCUCGUCCAACUCUCUCUCGGGAGCAGCCAAACCGCGCGACUCCCGCUCGUUCCCGCGUUUACGGGAACACGGGGCGGGGCCGAGGAGCGACGGCUCCGCCAUCCGCUCGUCGGGGCUGCUGGGUCGGUCUUUGCGGGAGGCGGCUCUCCCGGUGCCCGGGCGGGGCUGCGCUGGGGUCCGUCUUGUGCCCGGCGGGCGGGCGGGCGGGGAGGGCGAGGCCGCUUGUGGGCACGCGUGGGUGCGCGGCCGGCGCCGCCGCUUGGCGGGCAGCUGGAGCGGGGGCAGCGGGUGUGUCCGCCGGGUCCGGCGGUGUCGGACGGUACGGAAAAAUGCCGUAGAAGAUGGUUGAGACUUUGCUGUAGUGUGAAGAAUGCAAAACGUGUUUGAAGAGACAGGGCUUUUGUGGCUCCAAGCCACUUCUAUGGAUGGUCAAGCGUUUCCAGAAAUCCUUCUUGCAACAGCCCUCUUGUGAGUCACAGACUUAGCCAAUGCUCACAAUCCUUAACACAAGCCCACGUGUAGCCAGGAGCAGGCUGAUGCAUUCUUCAGUUUAGCUUGAACAAACAGCCCUUGCGGGCUGGCAAAGGCAAGUCCCAGAGCUGCAGAGAGCAGCAGCAGGAAUGGAGGCCAAGCUUUGCCAGGUUCCUGAAGAGGGAGGACCUUGAGAAUGAGGCGCGGGACUGACCAUGCACCAAAGAAGAGCCCUGUUACGAAUUCCUGACCAAACCUGGGAAGAAGAAACAAAAUGCCAGAGAUGAGAUUACUGAAUGCAACAAGAAGACACAACAGAGAUGACGGAGGAAACCAGCAAGAGGGGAAGGAGAGGAGGAGCAGAGGACAGGUAAGCAAACAAGAUCCUUGAAUCUCACCCCAUCCGAGGAGUGAUAGAAGGGUUCCCAAAGCCCAGAUUCUGAAUAAAAAGCAUACCUCGUAAGCUUCUCUCUCCACGUCUCUAAUUUGCUGCUCGGCCUCAAGUCUGCUCUGACAGUAGGCCACAUUUCUCUGCCUCAUUUCAGCAUCUGGAUGCUUCAGAAGAAAUGUGUGAGCUGCUGCAAUAGCCUUUGCAAGGUUAUGAGCCUGAAGAGGGAUGGGAAAAAGAGGAAGAGGGGGAAAAGCGUUAACGGGGGAAAAAAAAAAAUCAAAGUUUCCCAGUUUUUGUUGACAAAUUUUCCUGCAGCUUCUAGAUUCCCAGCUUACUUGUACUGAAGCCACGGUCUCGGCAGAUACAAUUGUACACUAGAUCUGAUACAAUUCUUCUCAGUUUUACUAACAGAUGCAUAAUGAGGAAAUUCUUUUUAAUGUUAAAAUCUGUUAUUGUUGCAGAUAGCAUAGGUGAUGACUUGAAGCUAACAGAAGAGCAUUUUUCCCCUCCACUUGCCCUGUUCAUGAAGCUGACAAGGCAGAAGCAUAUACUGUUGCUCCUGUGUGGGAUUAGUCUCACAGCAAUUACUGAGGCCAGCCUGUGACUGCUGACCAGGAGCCAUCACUGCCCGUGUUUACACGGCGUUCGUGUCACUUCUUGGCCCAGCAGCACGCAAGACAAUAUCCCGAUAACGUAUCUGCCUGAUGGUGUUACAGAGUUCGAGCAAACGGCAGGGACCUGUGUGUGAUCUGCCGCAACAGCUUUUGGAAGGUCGUGAGCCUAAACAGGGGUGGGAAGAAGAGGAAAGGGAAAGGAAAAGUUAACUGGGAAAAAAAAAUCCACGUUUCCCACUUUCUGUCAACAAACUCUCCUGCAGCCUCUCUGUUCCCCAGCUGACAUCUAGGGAAGCCACAGUCUCAGCAGAUACAAUGUUACACUAGAACUGAUACAAAUCUUUCCUGUUUUCUUACUAGAGGAGCAUGUUUUCCUAGGAGCAUGUUUGUUUUAAUGUCAAAAUCUGUUAUUGUAGCAGAUCGCAUCAUAAUGAUUGUAAGUUCAAAAGACGACUUUUUCUCCCUUCCUCCCGUACUGCAUUUCUAGUAUUUACAGAGGGAGAGAGAAAGGAAAAGGCUGAAGUAUUUGUAAAAUGUUAAGAAACUCUUCCUUUUUUCAGGCAAGGUGCAGGUCCCACGGUGUCCUUUGGUCUCCGACGUUCUCCAGUGGCGUCCUGUGGUUUCCAGCGGCCUUCUUCAGUCUCCCACGGUCUCCUGCAAUCUCCGGCGGUCUCCAGCGGGCUUCUGUGUGCCUGCAUUUAUAGCUGUUAUUGUCUAUAUGUACAUAUUUUUCUAAACUCUAUUGUCCAUAGACACACGUAUCGGGAGAAGGAGGGAGAAAACCCAAGUCUUCAUUAUUUGCUGAAAUGUGAAAACCUUUUUCCUUUUUAAACCAAGACACAGAGCCAAUGGUGUCCUGUGGUUUCUAGCGGUGUCCUUCGGUCUCCGACGGUCUCCUGCGGUCUCCGGUGGUCUCGUGUGGGCUUCUGUGUGCACACAUUUAUCGAUUUAAUUUUCUAUUUUUACAUGUCUUUAUAAACUAUACAGUCUGCAUACACGUAUAUAGGGAGAAGGAGAGAAAAUUUGCCUGCGUUUUUAACGCAAACAUUUGUCCAAAGGUGUAAGAACCGUGUCUUUGAAUUCCCACAAUUCCUUCCAACAGACGUUUUAUUUACUUCAAAAGAACCACCUUCAGAGGAGGAAUCCCGCCACGGCACUAUGGGACGAGGAGCAGGAACAGAGGUGACACAGGACCCAUCUCACGUUUGUUUCCACAACUCUCCCCAAGCACAGGAUGUUUCGGAAAGAUGGACCCAAUUGGAAAUCACUCUGCGUGUGAAAUUGGGACCAUGUUUUUGAAACACCCUGUAGUAUUGCUGGAGACACAUCCCCUGGUCCCUCUGCUUCCAAAUUUGCAUGAAGCCUUGUGUCGAGUCCCCAGCUCCAUUCAAGAGAGUCUGGUUAGGCACUGGCAAAACCAGUGUUCGUCCUGUACCAUGUAUGAAUCAAAAUUUGUCGCACACCAUUUUCCCCUUGUAAAAGAAAGGAAAACGAAUAUCCAAAAAAUCCCCAAACGUAUGAAAAUGACCAACCGUACAUCAGUAAAAAGAAAUCAAUAAUUCAAUAAAGAACACUGAUGGUCAACAGAAAACGAAGGGACAAUCCACCGGGUGCUGAUCCAGUGCUCUUUCCCGUGCUGUACUCUUUGCAUUUCACUAGUGGCUUCGCGGUUGUUCCUGUCACCUGCCUGCGCUGACUGGCACAGUCCCUGUCACUGCCCCAGCUGGCACUUCAUCCCCCUCUGCUGCCGGAUGGCACAGCAGCCCUGCAGCUCCGCAGCGAGUCAAGCCCAGCGUUGCAUCUCCCUGCCCUGGUCACGGCGAAGGGCUCCUGUGCCCAGCCCGGCAGGGCAGCGGCAUCAGGUGCUUGCAAAGGUUGCAUUUCACUCCGGGAGCCGAAAGCCGAGUUGUUGGGAGUGACCUGGGAACUCGGCUCGUUUGAGAGCCCAGCCUGCAGCCCCGGGACAGCAGCAGCUGUCUGUCCCUCCUCUGAGAGGCGGGGGCAUUUCUGGAGGGAGCGUCACCCUCCGAGGCAGAGGACAGAGCUUAUGAAGGCUCGGUGCUUCUGGACUCUGACCCGCCACAGGACGUGCAAUGGCCGUGGAAGUGGAAACACCGAUUUUCAUUAGUGCUGUAGUGUGAAGAAUGCAAAACGUGUUUGAAGAGACAGUGCUUUUGUGGCUCCAAGCCAAUUCUAGGGAUGUUCAAGCGUUUCCGGAAACGGGUGUUCUUGCAACAACCUUCUUGUGAAUUAAUGAGAAAAUAGGGUGGGAAAAAAAUCAGCACAUCAAGUAGCUGUGACACACAGCACGGAAAAGUCUCCACCGGCCAGCCCACGCACAAGAAAAAGCCCGAUGGAAGGGCGGGGUGGCACAUCGGGGCCACCGGGCUGUCGGCAGCGGUUGUAGCGGCGGCAGCUCCAGGAGGCUGCCCGGCUGGAGAAGAAGGGACAGGGGGCGGGAAGAGUUUCUCGUCCAACUCUCUCUCGGGAGCAGCCAAACCGCGCGACUCCCGCUCGUUCCCGCGUUUACGGGAACACGGGGCGGGGCCGAGGAGCGACGGCUCCGCCAUCCGCUCGUCGGGGCUGCUGGGUCGGUCUUUGCGGGAGGCGGCUCUCCCGGUGCCCGGGCGGGGCUGCGCUGGGGUCCGUCUUGUGCCCGGCGGGCGGGCGGGCGGGGAGGGCGAGGCCGCUUGUGGGCACGCGUGGGUGCGCGGCCGGCGCCGCCGCUUGGCGGGCAGCUGGAGCGGGGGCAGCGGGUGUGUCCGCCGGGUCCGGCGGUGUCGGACGGUACGGAAAAAUGCCGUAGAAGAUGGUUGAGACUUUGCUGUAGUGUGAAGAAUGCAAAACGUGUUUGAAGAGACAGGGCUUUUGUGGCUCCAAGCCACUUCUAUGGAUGGUCAAGCGUUUCCAGAAAUCCUUCUUGCAACAGCCCUCUUGUGAGUCACAGACUUAGCCAAUGCUCACAAUCCUUAACACAAGCCCACGUGUUGCCAGGAGCAGGCUGAUGCAUUCUUCAGUUUAGCUUGAACAAACAGCCCUUGCGGGCUGGCAAAGGCAAGUCCCAGAGCUGCAGAGAGCAGCAGCAGGAAUGGAGGCCAAGCUUUGCCAGGUUCCUGAAGAGGGAGAACCUUGAGAAUGAGGCGCGGGACUGACCAUGCACCAAAGAAGAGGUAUGUGGUACUGUGGGAUCUUUUCCAAAGCAUCACAUGUAGCGAUGGCGAGCAGAUGUUUUGCCUUGCACACCUUGUUUGGCUGCUGUGCUUCUUGGGCAGGGUGCACGAGAAGCGCUCUGGUCCCUGCCAGGCGCUGGUGUUGCCCGCAGGGAGAGGUGCCGAGCGGCAGCUGCGAAUCCUUCCUGUUCCUGACAGGACACCAGUGGCUGCUCCAAAGCACUGGGUCCCCAUGCAACAUCUCUGCGUGCUGCUUCCUACAUCUGCCUUCUUGGUCUGUAACUUGUUUGGGUUUUGCUUGUUUCUUUCUACCUUGUUUGGUGUUCUGUUUUUGUUGUUGAUGUUGUUUCCAUUGUUGUUUUGGUUUUGUUGGGUUUUGCUAAGUUGGUUUCAUUUGGUUGGUUUAGGUCAGUUAAUACGAGUUGGUUUUGGUAGGCUUUUUGAGCCUGGUUGUUUGACACCGUAUGACGUUGUUGGUAGGUUGUGUGUUGGUAGGUCACUGAAGGCCGGUUGUUUUAGGUUAAGGUUUGUUAAGUUUGGUUCAGGUUGGCGGUCUUAGAUUGCUUGUUUCAGGUUUGAUGGUUGAGCUUGGUUUCGGUUGGUUAGUUUAGGUGGGUUGGUUUAGGCUGUGUGAUGUGAUUUUCUUACCGCUGAUGUGUGUUGUUUAGCUUCGGAGGUUUAUUUUUCUUGGUUUUGCUGGGUUCUUUGGUUGGUGCUGUUUUCUGGUGCUUCUUUAGCACUGGUUGCCUUAGUUUGGUUGAGGUUUCUGGUUUUACGAGCUUGGUUCAGCUUGUUGCGGUCGUUUGAGGUUGGUUUGAGGCAGGUUCUUUGAGGGUGAUUGUGAGAGGCUGGUUGUCGAAGGCUGGUGGGUUCAGGUUGCUUGAUGUAGGUGAUAUUUGGUUGAAGGUGUCUUCCGUUGGUUGUUGUAGGUGGCGUAUGUGAAGCUGUUUUCGUUGAGGCCGUUUUCAGUAGUUUGGUUUAGGUUUGUUCAGAUGACUUUAAGUUGAGACAUGGUCGGCUGGUUGGUUAUUUUAGGUUGUUUGUUUUCAGUAGGCAGUUUAGGUGGGUUGGUGGGUGUCUGUGUUUUGAGGUAGGUUGGUUUCGGCAGGUUUGGUUUACACUGUUUAAGUUGUUUGAAGGGUUUCUGUUGAGGUUGGUUCAGGUUGUUUGGUUUAGGUUGGUUUAUUUCCUUUUUGGUAGGUUGUUUUAGGCAGUGUUAUUUACGUUGCAUGUUUUGAAGGUGGGUUCCUUCAGGUUGGGGUGGUUUAGAUUGGUUGUUGAGGGUGCUAUAGGUGCUUUGGCUAGAUUUACAUUGUGUUUUGUUGGUUUUAGGUUGUGUCUGGAUGGUUUGGAUGUGACUGCAAUCUCGCUGGGACAUGCGUCCCCCCACUAAUCACCAGGCUCGAUGGGGCUGUUUGUGCUGUUGCAGCAGAUGUCCCCGUCCUCCUUCCCUGCUCCACGUGUUUCCCUGCCUUGCUCAAAGAGGACGACCUUCCCCGCUAGAGGCGAACCAUUGCUAGGUCAAGGGGAUACGGUAGCUGCGCUGUGCUUGAGAACCUCCAAACAAGCUCAGGGUCCAUUUGUAGGAGAACCUGGGGUAGUCAAGCUUCCAAGACUGCAGACACAUCCAAGUGAGACACUGCAUGGGGUAGGGUGGCUGGUGGUUGGAGUUUGGUUGUUGAGGUUUUUUAGGGGGUUUUAGCUUAGUUGUUGAAGUUUAGUUGAUUUAGAUUGGGUUUGAGCUUGGCGAUUGUAGGAUGGUUUCAGUGGUUCUAUUUGGCUUUGGGUUGUUUGCUUGAGGUCAUUUUGGUCAGGUGAUGUCUUUUGGUUUCCUGUUUUUGAGGUUGGUUUAGAUGGGUUGUUUUAGGUAGUUUUAUCCUUUAUCAGAUUGUUUUGAAGUUGUCUGAGAUUGUUUAAUGGUUGUUUUAGGUUAAGAUUGGUUGGUUUUGGUUUGUUUAGCUUGUUUGGUUACAGGUCGCUUAAGGUUGGCUGAGAAAUGCCGGUUUAUGUAGUUUUAGAUUGUUUUAGGUAGGAUUUUUUAGAUCAUUUGGUUUUGGGUAGGUUUGUUUUAGGGUGUUUUGGUUGGUUUCUUUUGUUUGGUUUAGGUAAUUUGUUGUAGAUUGUUUAAGGUUCUGCUUAGGUUGUUGGUGGCUGAUUGAAGUUUUUUAAGGCAGACUGGUUUAGGUUGUUUAAGAUUGGUUUAGGUGAGUUGUUCUGUGCUGGUUUAGGUAGGCUGUUCUAGCUAAGUUUAGGGCCACCUCGUGGAGCAGCAGGCGCCCAGCCCAAAUGGCCCAAAGAAGCCGUGGCAAGGGGCCGUGCUCAGCGCUGCAGAGGAAGGCGAAAAACCCCCGGAGACGCUUGCUGUCCCACCUGGGGGGGAAAAAAAGCCUUCCUCCCCCCAGCUGCGGGGCACGAGAGGCCAUCUUCCUGGUGCUUGAGCAGCAGGCAGGAACCGAGCCAAAAGGGCCCAGAGGAGCUCUGCAAAGUGGUCAUGCUCAAUGCUGCAGAGGAAGGCAAAAAACCCCCGGGGACCAGUGCCAAUCUGCCCCGGGGGAAAAAAUUCCUUCCUGACCCCAGUGCUGGCGAUCGGCUGUUCCCUGAGCAUGUGAGCCAGACCUGGCUCCUCGUCCCACAGGCUGCUCACGCCUCCCAGGACCUGCCUAAGCCCUAGCCUAUCCUACCCUGUCCUACCUUGAGCCGGAGCCAUCUCCCGGACUGCCGAGAGUGCCCAAGUGCCUGGUGGGACACCAGUGGGUGUUGCAAGCACAGAAGAAAUUCCCUUGGUCUCUCCACCGCUACCCAGUUGAAAAGGAUUUCCAUCCGUGAGCUGAGCUUGGAAGGUGGCCCUGCCAGCAGAUCACCUUGCAGUGGAGAACCUCCAGCAGCCUCAUGCAAGCUCUUCCUCCCUCAGCCCCUGCCCUGUGAUUCCACCAGCUCCUCAAGUGCUUCCUGUGGGAUGUGUUGGGGCUGCCCCCCGGGCCAGCUCUGGCAGUGGACAGGGGACCCGGCUGCUCCUUUUGGUCCUGCUCGGGGCAUUGUGAGCGCUGAAUUGCCGGGUGCUGGCAUUGUGACACGGGGGUGACAGAGCCACGCGUGUGCAGCCCCGCCCACCCCAACUCCGCCCAGCACCUUUGGGAGGAAGCCUUUGGGGUGCUGGCCCCAAAUCAGUCCCUGUCAUCUACAAGACAGGGGAGUAAUCAACCUAACCGUGUCCCUCUUUUGCCAAAACACAGUGUGGAUUUGUUGCCAGUCCAGCCUUACUUCCAGUACUUCUUCCUGCAGCCCUGUUACGAAUUCCUGACCAAACCUGGGAAGAAGAAACAAAAUGCCAGAGAUGAGAUUACUGAAUGCAACAAGAAGACACAACAGAGAUGACGGAGGAAACCAGCAAGAGGGGAAGGAGAGGAGGAGCAGAGGACAUGCAAGGUGCAGGUCCCACGGUGUCCUUUGGUCUCCGACGUUCUCCAGUGGCGUCCUGUGGUUUCCAGCGGCCUUCUUCAGUCUCCCACGGUCUCCAGCGGGCUUCUCUGUGCCUGCAUUUAUAGCUGUUAUUGUCUAUAUGUACAUAUUUUUCUAAACUCUAUUGUCCAUAGACACACGUAUAGGGAGAAGGAGGGAGAAAACCCAAGUCUUCAUUAUUUGCUGAAAUGUGAAAACCUUUUUCCUUUUUAAACCAAGACACAGAGCCAAUGGUGUCCUGUGGUUUCUAGCGGUGUCCUUCGGUCUCCGACGGUCUCCUGCGGUCUCCGGUGGUCUCGUGUGGGCUUCUGUGUGCACACAUUUAUCGAUUUAAUUUUCUAUUUUUACAUGUCUUUAUAAACUAUACAGUCUGCAUACACGUAUAUAGGGAGAAGGAGAGAAAAUUUGCCUCCGUUUUUAACGCAAACAUUUGUCCAAAGGUGUAAGAACCGUGUAUUUGAAUUCCCACAAUUCCUUCCAACAGACGUUUUAUUUACUUCAAAAGAACCACCUUCAGAGGAGGAAUCCCGCCACGGCACUAUGGGACGAGGAGCAGGAACAGAGGUGACACAGGACCCAUCUCACGUUUGUUUCCACAACUCUCCCCAAGCACAGGAUGUUUCGGAAAGAUGGACCCAAUUGGAAAUCACUCUGCGUGUGAAAUUGGGACCAUGUUUUUGAAACACCCUGUAGUAUUGCUGGAGACACAUCCCCUGGUCCCUCUGCUUCCAAAUUUGCAUGAAGCCUUGUGUCGAGUCCCCAGCUCCAUUCAAGAGAGUCUGGUUAGGCACUGGCAAAACCAGUGUUCGUCCUGUACCAUGUAUGAAUCAAAAUUUGUCGCACACCAUUUUCCCCUUGUAAAAGAAAGGCAAACGAAUAUCCAAAAAAUCCCCAAACGUAUGAAAAUGACCAACCGUACAUCAGUAAAAAGAAAUCAAUAAUUCAAUAAAGAACACUGAUGGUCAACAGAAAACGAAGGGACAAUCCACCGGGUGCUGAUCCAGUGCUCUUUCCCGUGCUGUACUCUUUGCAUUUCACUAGUGGCUUCGCGGUUGUUCCUGUCACCUGCCUGCGCUGACUGGCACAGUCCCUGUCACUGCCCCAGCUGGCACUUCAUCCCCCUCUGCUGCCGGAUGGCACAGCAGCCCUGCAGCUCCGCAGCGAGUCAAGCCCAGCGUUGCAUCUCCCUGCCCUGGUCACGGCGAAGGGCUCCUGUGCCCAGCCCGGCAGGGCAGCGGCAUCAGGUGCUUGCAAAGGUUGCAUUUCACUCCGGGAGCCGAAAGCCGAGUUGUUGGGAGUGACCUGGGAACUCGGCUCGUUUGAGAGCCCAGCCUGCAGCCCCGGGACAGCAGCAGCUGUCUGUCCCUCCUCUGAGAGGCGGGGGCAUUUCUGGAGGGAGCGUCACCCUCCGAGGCAGAGGACAGAGCUUAUGAAGGCUCGGUGCUUCUGGACUCUGACCCGCCACAGGACGUGCAAUGGCCGUGGAAGUGGAAACACCGAUUUUCAUUAGUGCUGUAGUGUGAAGAAUGCAAAACGUGUUUGAAGAGACAGUGCUUUUUUGGCUCCAAGCCAAUUCUAGGGAUGUUCAAGCGUUUCCGGAAACGGGUGUUCUUGCAACAACCUUCUUGUGAAUUAAUGAGAAAAUAGGGUGGGAAAAAAAUCAGCACAUCAAGUAGCUGUGACACACAGCACGGAAAAGUCUCCACCGGCCAGCCCACGCACAAGAAAAAGCCCGAUGGAAGGGCGGGGUGGCACAUCGGGGCCACCGGGCUGUCGGCAGCGGUUGUAGCGGCGGCAGCUCCAGGGGGCUGCCCGGCUGGAGAAGAAGGGACAGGGGGCGGGAAGAGUUUCUCGUCCAACUCUCUCUCGGGAGCAGCCAAACCGCGCGACUCCCGCUCGUUCCCGCGUUUACGGGAACACGGGGCGGGGCCGAGGAGCGACGGCUCCGCCAUCCGCUCGUCGGGGCUGCUGGGUCGGUCUUUGCGGGAGGCGGCUCUCCCGGUGCCCGGGCGGGGCUGCGCUGGGGUCCGUCUUGUGCCCGGCGGGCGGGCGGGGAGGGCGAGGCCGCUUGUGGGCACGCGUGGGUGCGCGGCCGGCGCCGCCGCUUGGCGGGCAGCUGGAGCGGGGGCAGCGGGUGUGUCCGCCGGGUCCGGCGGUGUCGGACGGUACGGAAAAAUGCCGUAGAAGAUGGUUGAGACUUUGCUGUAGUGUGAAGAAUGCAAAACGUGUUUGAAGAGACAGGGCUUUUGUGGCUCCAAGCCACUUCUAUGGAUGGUCAAGCGUUUCCAGAAAUCCUUCUUGCAACAGCCCUCUUGUGAGUCACAGACUUAGCCAAUGCUCACAAUCCUUAACACAAGCCCACGUGUAGCCAGGAGCAGGCUGAUGCAUUCUUCAGUUUAGCUUGAACAAACAGCCCUUGCGGGCUGGCAAAGGCAAGUCCCAGAGCUGCAGAGAGCAGCAGCAGGAAUGGAGGCCAAGCUUUGCCAGGUUCCUGAAGAGGGAGGACCUUGAGAAUGAGGCGCGGGACUGACCAUGCACCAAAGAAGAGCCCUGUUACGAAUUCCUGACCAAACCUGGGAAGAAGAAACAAAAUGCCAGAGAUGAGAUGACUGAAUGCAACAAGAAGACACAGCAGAGAUGACGGAGGAAAACAGCAAGAGGGGAAGGAGAGGAGGAGCAGAGGACAGGUAAGCAAACAAGAUCCUUGAAUCUCACCCCAUCCGAGGAGUGAUAGAAGGGUUCCCAAAGCCCAGAUUCUGAAUAAAAAGCAUACCUCGUAAGCUUCUCUCUCCACGUCUCUAAUUUGCUGCUCGGCCUCAGGUCUGCUCUGACAGUAGGCCACACUUCUCUGCCUCAUUUCAGCAUCUGGAUGCUUCAGAAGAAAUGUGUGAGCUGCUGCAAUAGCCUUUGCAAGGUUAUGAGCCUGAAGAGGGAUGGGAAAAAGAGGAAGAGGGGGAAAAGCGUUAACGGGGGAAAAAAAAAAAUCAAAGUUUCCCAGUUUUUGUCAACAAAUUUUCCUGCAGCUUCUAGAUUCCCAGCUUACUUGUACUGAAGCCACGGUCUCGGCAGAUACAAUCGUACACUAGAUCUGAUACAAUUCUUCUCAGUUUUACUAACAGAUGCAUAAUGAGGAAAUUCUUUUUAAUGUUAAAAUCUGUUAUUGUUGCAGAUAGCAUAGGUGAUGACUUGAAGUUAACAGAAGAGCAUUUUUCCCCUCCACUUGCCCUGUUCAUGAAGCUGACAAGGCAGAAGCAUAUACUGUUGCUCCUGUGUGGGAUUAGUCUCACAGCAAUUACUGAGGCCAGCCUGUGACUGCUGACCAGGAGCCAUCACCGCCCGUGUUUACACGGCGUUCGUGUCACUUCUUGGCCCAGCAGCACGCAAGACAAUAUCCCGAUAACGUAUCUGCCUGAUGGUGUUACAGAGUUCGAGCAAACGGCAGGGACCUGUGUGUGAUCUGCCGCAACAGCUUUUGGAAGGUCGUGAGCCUAAACAGGGGUGGGAAGAAGAGGAAAGGGAAAGGAAAAGUUAACUGGGAAAAAAAAAUCCACGUUUCCCACUUUCUGUCAACAAACUCUCCUGCAGCCUCUCUGUUCCCCAGCUGACAUCUAGGGAAGCCACAGUCUCAGCAGAUACAAUGUUACACUAGAACUGAUACAAAUCUUUCCUGUUUUCUUACUAGAGGAGCAUGUUUUCCUAGGAGCAUGUUUGUUUUAAUGUCAAAAUCUGUUAUUGUAGCAGAUCGCAUCAUAAUGAUUGUAAGUUCAAAAGACGACUUUUUCUCCCUUCCUCCCGUACUGCAUUUCUAGUAUUUACAGAGGGAGAGAGAAAGGAAAAGGCUGAAGUAUUUGUAAAAUGUUAAGAAACUCUUCCUUUUUUCAGGCAAGGUGCAGGUCCCACGGUGUCCUUUGGUCUCCGACGUUCUCCAGUGGCGUCCUGUGGUUUCCAGCGGCCUUCUUCAGUCUCCCACGGUCUCCUGCAAUCUCCGGCGGUCUCCAGCGGGCUUCUGUGUGCAUGCAUUUAUAGCUGUUAUUGUCUGUAUGUACAUAUUUUUCUAAACUCUAUUGUCCAUAGACACACGUAUAGGGAGAAGGAGGGAGAAAACCCAAGUCUUCAUUAUUUGCUGAAAUGUGAAAACCUUUUUCCUUUUUAAACCAAGACACAGAGCCAAUGGUGUCCUGUGGUUUCUAGCGGUGUCCUUCGGUCUCCGACGGUCUCCUGCGGUCUCCGGUGGUCUCGUGUGGGCUUCUGUGUGCACACAUUUAUCGAUUUAAUUUUCUAUUUUUACAUGUCUUUAUAAACUAUACAGUCUGCAUACACGUAUAUAGGGAGAAGGAGAGAAAAUUUGCCUCCGUUUUUAACGCAAACAUUUGUCCAAAGGUGUAAGAACCGUGUCUUUGAAUUCCCACAAUUCCUUCCAACAGACGUUUUAUUUACUUCAAAAGAACCACCUUCAGAGGAGGAAUCCCGCCACGGCACUAUGGGACGAGGAGCAGGAACAGAGGUGACACAGGACCCAUCUCACGUUUGUUUCCACAACUCUCCCCAAGCACAGGAUGUUUCGGAAAGAUGGACCCAAUUGGAAAUCACUCUGCGUGUGAAAUUGGGACCAUGUUUUUGAAACACCCUGUAGUAUUGCUGGAGACACAUCCCCUGGUCCCUCUGCUUCCAAAUUUGCAUGAAGCCUUGUGUCGAGUCCCCAGCUCCAUUCAAGAGAGUCUGGUUAGGCACUGGCAAAACCAGUGUUCGUCCUGUACCAUGUAUGAAUCAAAAUUUGUCGCACACCAUUUUCCCCUUGUAAAAGAAAGGCAAACGAAUAUCCAAAAAAUCCCCAAACGUAUGAAAAUGACCAACCGUACAUCAGUAAAAAGAAAUCAAUAAUUCAAUAAAGAACACUGAUGGUCAACAGAAAACGAAGGGACAAUCCACCGGGUGCUGAUCCAGUGCUCUUUCCCGUGCUGUACUCUUUGCAUUUCACUAGUGGCUUCGCGGUUGUUCCUGUCACCUGCCUGCGCUGACUGGCACAGUCCCUGUCACUGCCCCAGCUGGCACUUCAUCCCCCUCUGCUGCCGGAUGGCACAGCAGCCCUGCAGCUCCGCAGCGAGUCAAGCCCAGCGUUGCAUCUCCCUGCCCUGGUCACGGCGAAGGGCUCCUGUGCCCAGCCCGGCAGGGCAGCGGCAUCAGGUGCUUGCAAAGGUUGCAUUUCACUCCGGGAGCCGAAAGCCGAGUUGUUGGGAGUGACCUGGGAACUCGGCUCGUUUGAGAGCCCAGCCUGCAGCCCCGGGACAGCAGCAGCUGUCUGUCCCUCCUCUGAGAGGCGGGGGCAUUUCUGGAGGGAGCGUCACCCUCCGAGGCAGAGGACAGAGCUUAUGAAGGCUCGGUGCUUCUGGACUCUGACCCGCCACAGGACGUGCAAUGGCCGUGGAAGUGGAAACACCGAUUUUCUUUAGUGCUGUAGUGUGAAGAAUGCAAAACGUGUUUGAAGAGACAGUGCUUUUUUGGCUCCAAGCCAAUUCUAGGGAUGUUCAAGCGUUUCCGGAAACGGGUGUUCUUGCAACAACCUUCUUGUGAAUUAAUGAGAAAAUAGGGUGGGAAAAAAAUCAGCACAUCAAGUAGCUGUGACACACAGCACGGAAAAGUCUCCACCGGCCAGCCCACGCACAAGAAAAAGCCCGAUGGAAGGGCGGGGUGGCACAUCGGGGCCACCGGGCUGUCGGCAGCGGUUGUAGCGGCGGCAGCUCCAGGAGGCUGCCCGGCUGGAGAAGAAGGGACAGGGGGCGGGAAGAGUUUCUCGUCCAACUCUCUCUCGGGAGCAGCCAAACCGCGCGACUCCCGCUCGUUCCCGCGUUUACGGGAACACGGGGCGGGGCCGAGGAGCGACGGCUCCGCCAUCCGCUCGUCGGGGCUGCUGGGUCGGUCUUUGCGGGAGGCGGCUCUCCCGGUGCCCGGGCGGGGCUGCGCUGGGGUCCGUCUUGUGCCCGGCGGGCGGGCGGGGAGGGCGAGGCCGCUUGUGGGCACGCGUGGGUGCGCGGCCGGCGCCGCCGCUUGGCGGGCAGCUGGAGCGGGGGCAGCGGGUGUGUCCGCCGGGUCCGGCGGUGUCGGACGGUACGGAAAAAUGCCGUAGAAGAUGGUUGAGACUUUGCUGUAGUGUGAAGAAUGCAAAACGUGUUUGAAGAGACAGGGCUUUUGUGGCUCCAAGCCACUUCUAUGGAUGGUCAAGCGUUUCCAGAAAUCCUUCUUGCAACAGCCCUCUUGUGAGUCACAGACUUAGCCAAUGCUCACAAUCCUUAACACAAGCCCACGUGUAGCCAGGAGCAGGCUGAUGCAUUCUUCAGUUUAGCUUGAACAAACAGCCCUUGCGGGCUGGCAAAGGCAAGUCCCAGAGCUGCAGAGAGCAGCAGCAGGAAUGGAGGCCAAGCUUUGCCAGGUUCCUGAAGAGGGAGGACCUUGAGAAUGAGGCGCGGGACUGACCAUGCACCAAAGAAGAGGUAUGUGGUACUGUGGGAUCUUUUCCAAAGCAUCACAUGUAGCGAUGGCGAGCAGAUGUUUUGCCUUGCACACCUUGUUUGGCUGCUGUGCUUCUUGGGCAGGGUGCACGAGAAGCGCUCUGGUCCCUGCCAGGCGCUGGUGUUGCCCGCAGGGAGAGGUGCCGAGCGGCAGCUGCGAAUCCUUCCUGUUCCUGACAGGACACCAGUGGCUGCUCCAAAGCACUGGGUCCCCAUGCAACAUCUCUGCGUGCUGCUUCCUACAUCUGCCUUCUUGGUCUGUAACUUGUUUGGGUUUUGCUUGUUUCUUUCUACCUUGUUUGGUGUUCUGUUUUUGUUGUUGAUGUUGUUUCCAUUGUUGUUUUGGUUUUGUUGGGUUUUGCUAAGUUGGUUUCAUUUGGUUGGUUUAGGUCAGCUAAUACGAGUUGGUUUUGGUAGGCUUUUUGAGCCUGGUUGUUUGACACCGUAUGACGUUGUUGGUAGGUUGUGUGUUGGUAGGUCACUGAAGGCCGGUUGUUUUAGGUUAAGGUUUGUUAAGUUUGGUUCAGGUUGGCGGUCUUAGAUUGCUUGUUUCAGGUUUGAUGGUUGAGCUUGGUUUCGGUUGGUUAGUUUAGGUGGGUUGGUUUAGGCUGUGUGAUGUGAUUUUCUUACCGCUGAUGUGUGUUGUUUAGCUUCGGAGGUUUAUUUUUCUUGGUUUUGCUGGGUUCUUUGGUUGGUGCUGUUUUCUGGUGCUUCUUUAGCACUGGUUGCGUUAAUUUGGUUGAGGUUUCUGGUUUUACGAGCUUGGUUCAGCUUGUUGCGGUCGUUUGAGGUUGGUUUGAGGCAGGUUCUUUGAGGGUGAUUGUGAGAGGCUGGUUGUCGAAGGCUGGUGGGUUCAUGUUGCUUGAUGUAGGUGAUAUUUGGUUGAAGGUGUCUUCCGUUGGUUGUUGUAGGUGGCGUAUGUGAAGCUGUUUUCGUUGAGGCCGUUUUCAGUAGAUUGGUUUAGGUUUGUUCAGAUGACUUUAAGUUGAGACAUGGUCGGCUGGUUGGUUAUUUUAGGUUGUUUGUUUUCAGUAGGCAGUUUAGGUGGGUUGGUGGGUGUCUGUGUUUUCAGGUAGGUUGGUUUCGGCAGGUUUGGUUUACACUGUUUAAGUUGUUUGAAGGGUUUCUGUUGAGGUUGGUUCAGGUUGUUUGGUUUAGGUUGGUUUAUUUCCUUUUUGGUAGGUUGUUUUAGGCAGUGUUAUUUACGUUGCAUGUUUUGAAGGUGGGUUCCUUCAGGUUGGGGUGGUUUAGAUUGGUUGUUGAGGGUGCUAUAGGUGCUUUGGCUAGAUUUACAUUGUGUUUUGUUGGUUUUAGGUUGUGUCUGGAUGGUUUGGAUGUGACUGCAAUCUCGCUGGGACAUGCGUCCCCCCACUAAUCACCAGGCUCGAUGGGGCUGUUUGUGCUGUUGCAGCAGAUGUCCCCGUCCUCCUUCCCUGCUCCACGUGUUUCCCUGCCUUGCUCAAAGAGGACGACCUUCCCCGCUAGAGGCGAACCAUUGCUAGGUCAAGGGGAUACGGUAGCUGCGCUGUGCUUGAGAACCUCCAAACAAGCUCAGGGUCCAUUUGUAGGAGAACCUGGGGUAGUCAAGCUUCCAAGACUGCAGACACAUCCAAGUGAGACACUGCAUGGGGUAGGGUGGCUGGUGGUUGGAGUUUGGUUGUUGAGGUUUUUUAGGGGGUUUUAGCUUAGUUGUUGAAGUUUAGUUGAUUUAGAUUGGGUUUGAGCUUGGCGAUUGUAGGAUGGUUUCAGUGGUUCUAUUUGGCUUUGGGUUGUUUGCUUGAGGUCAUUUUGGUCAGGUGAUGUCUUUUGGUUUCCUAUUUUUGAGGUUGGUUUAGAUGGGUUGUUUUAGGUAGUUUUAUCCUUUAUCAGAUUGUUUUGAAGUUGUUUGAGAUUGUUUAAUGGUUGUUUUAGGUUAAGAUUGGUUGGUUUUGGUUUGUUUAGCUUGUUUGGUUACAGGUCGCUUAAGGUUGGCUGAGAAAUGCCGGUUUAUGUAGUUUUAGAUUGUUUUAGGUAGGAUUUUUUAGAUCAUUUGGUUUUGGGUACGUUUGUUUUAGGGAGUUUUGGUUGGUUUCUUUUGUUUGGUUUAGGUAAUUUGUUGUAGAUUGUUUAAGGUUCUGCUUAGGUUGUUGGUGGCUGAUUGAAGUUUUUUAAGGCAGACUGGUUUAGGUUGUUUAAGAUUGGUUUAGGUGAGUUGUUCUGUGCUGGUUUAGGUAGGCUGUUCUAGCUAAGUUUAGGGCCACCUCGUGGAGCAGCAGGCGCCCAGCCCAAAAGGCCCAAAGAAGCCGUGGCAAGGGGCCGUGCUCAGCGCUGCAGAGGAAGGCGAAAAACCCCCGGAGACGCUUGCUGUCCCACCUGGGGGGGAAAAAAAGCCUUCCUCCCCCCAGCUGCGGGGCACGAGAGGCCAUCUUCCUGGUGCUUGAGCAGCAGGCAGGAACCGAGCCAAAAGGGCCCAGAGGAGCUGUGCAAAGUGGUCAUGCUCAAUGCUGCAGAGGAAGGCAAAAAACCCCCGGGGACCAGUGCCAAUCUGCCCCGGGGGAAAAAAUUCCUUCCUGACCCCAGUGCUGGCGAUCGGCUGUUCCCUGAGCAUGUGAGCCAGACCUGGCUCCUUGUCCCACAGGCUGCUCACGCCCCCCAGGACCUGCCCAAGCCCUAGCCUAUCCUACCCUGUCCUACCUUGAGCCGGAGCCAUCUCCCGGACUUCCGAGAGUGCCCAGAUGCCUCUGAGCUGAUGGACCUUGGGGGCAAGACUCCUUCCUGUGCCUGGUGGGACACCAGUGGGUGUUCCAAGCACAGAAGAAAUUCCCUUGGUCUCUCCGCCGCUACCCAGUUGAAAAGGAUUUCCAUCCGUGAGCUGAGCUUGGAAGGUGGCCCUGCCAGCAGAUCACCUUGCAGUGGAGAACCUCCAGCAGCCUCAUGCAAGCUCUUCCUCCCUCAGCCCCUGCCCUGUGAUUCCACCAGCUCCUCAAGUGCUUCCUGUGGGAUGUGUUGGGGCUGCCCCCGGGCCAGCUCUGGCAGUGGACAGGGGACCCGGCUGCUCCUUUUGGUCCUGCUCGGGGCAUUGUGAGCGCUGCAUUGCCGGGUGCUGGCAUUGUGACACGGGGGUGACAGAGCCACGCGUGUGCAGCCCCACCCACCCCAACUCCGCCCAGCACCCUAUGGAGGAAGCCUUUGGGGUGCUGGCCCCAAAUCAGUCCCUGUCAUCUACAAGACAGGGGAGUAAUCAACCUAACCGUGUCCCUCUUUUGCCAAAACACAGUGUGGAUUUGUUGCCAGUCCAGCCUUACUUCCAGUACUUCUUCCUGCAGCCCUGUUACGAAUUCCUGACCAAACCUGGGAAGAAGAAACAAAAUGCCAGAGAUGAGAUUACUGAAUGCAACAAGAAGACACAACAGAGAUGACGGAGGAAACCAGCAAGAGGGGAAGGAGAGGAGGAGCAGAGGACAGGUAAGCAAACAAGAUCCUUGAAUCUCACCCCAUCCGAGGAGUGAUAGAAGGGUUCCCAAAGCCCAGAUUCUGAAUAAAAAGCAUACCUCGUAAGCUUCUCUCUCCACGUCUCUAAUUUGCUGCUCGGCCUCAGGUCUGCUCUGACAGUAGGCCACACUUCUCUGCCUCAUUUCAGCAUCUGGAUGCUUCAGAAGAAAUGUGUGAGCUGCUGCAAUAGCCUUUGCAAGGUUAUGAGCCUGAAGAGGGAUGGGAAAAAGAGGAAGAGGGGGAAAAGCGUUAACGGGGGAAAAAAAAAAAUCAAAGUUUCCCAGUUUUUGUCAACAAAUUUUCCUGCAGCUUCUAGAUUCCCAGCUUACUUGUACUGAAGCCACGGUCUCGGCAGAUACAAUCGUACACUAGAUCUGAUACAAUUCUUCUCAGUUUUACUAACAGAUGCAUAAUGAGGAAAUUCUUUUUAAUGUUAAAAUCUGUUAUUGUUGCAGAUAGCAUAGGUGAUGACUUGAAGUUAACAGAAGAGCAUUUUUCCCCUCCACUUGCCCUGUUCAUGAAGCUGACAAGGCAGAAGCAUAUACUGUUGCUCCUGUGUGGGAUUAGUCUCACAGCAAUUACUGAGGCCAGCCUGUGACUGCUGACCAGGAGCCAUCACCGCCCGUGUUUACACGGCGUUCGUGUCACUUCUUGGCCCAGCAGCACGCAAGACAAUAUCCCGAUAACGUAUCUGCCUGAUGGUGUUACAGAGUUCGAGCAAACGGCAGGGACCUGUGUGUGAUCUGCCGCAACAGCUUUUGGAAGGUCGUGAGCCUAAACAGGGGUGGGAAGAAGAGGAAAGGGAAAGGAAAAGUUAACUGGGAAAAAAAAAUCCACGUUUCCCACUUUCUGUCAACAAACUCUCCUGCAGCCUCUCUGUUCCCCAGCUGACAUCUAGGGAAGCCACAGUCUCAGCAGAUACAAUGUUACACUAGAACUGAUACAAAUCUUUCCUGUUUUCUUACUAGAGGAGCAUGUUUUCCUAGGAGCAUGUUUGUUUUAAUGUCAAAAUCUGUUAUUGUAGCAGAUCGCAUCAUAAUGAUUGUAAGUUCAAAAGACGACUUUUUCUCCCUUCCUCCCGUACUGCAUUUCUAGUAUUUACAGAGGGAGAGAGAAAGGAAAAGGCUGAAGUAUUUGUAAAAUGUUAAGAAACUCUUCCUUUUUUCAGGCAAGGUGCAGGUCCCACGGUGUCCUUUGGUCUCCGACGUUCUCCAGUGGCGUCCUGUGGUUUCCAGCGGCCUUCUUCAGUCUCCCACGGUCUCCUGCAAUCUCCGGCGGUCUCCAGCGGGCUUCUGUGUGCAUGCAUUUAUAGCUGUUAUUGUCUGUAUGUACAUAUUUUUCUAAACUCUAUUGUCCAUAGACACACGUAUAGGGAGAAGGAGGGAGAAAACCCAAGUCUUCAUUAUUUGCUGAAAUGUGAAAACCUUUUUCCUUUUUAAACCAAGACACAGAGCCAAUGGUGUCCUGUGGUUUCUAGCGGUGUCCUUCGGUCUCCGACGGUCUCCUGCGGUCUCCGGUGGUCUCGUGUGGGCUUCUGUGUGCACACAUUUAUCGAUUUAAUUUUCUAUUUUUACAUGUCUUUAUAAACUAUACAGUCUGCAUACACGUAUAUAGGGAGAAGGAGAGAAAAUUUGCCUCCGUUUUUAACGCAAACAUUUGUCCAAAGGUGUAAGAACCGUGUCUUUGAAUUCCCACAAUUCCUUCCAACAGACGUUUUAUUUACUUCAAAAGAACCACCUUCAGAGGAGGAAUCCCGCCACGGCACUAUGGGACGAGGAGCAGGAACAGAGGUGACACAGGACCCAUCUCACGUUUGUUUCCACAACUCUCCCCAAGCACAGGAUGUUUCGGAAAGAUGGACCCAAUUGGAAAUCACUCUGCGUGUGAAAUUGGGACCAUGUUUUUGAAACACCCUGUAGUAUUGCUGGAGACACAUCCCCUGGUCCCUCUGCUUCCAAAUUUGCAUGAAGCCUUGUGUCGAGUCCCCAGCUCCAUUCAAGAGAGUCUGGUUAGGCACUGGCAAAACCAGUGUUCGUCCUGUACCAUGUAUGAAUCAAAAUUUGUCGCACACCAUUUUCCCCUUGUAAAAGAAAGGCAAACGAAUAUCCAAAAAAUCCCCAAACGUAUGAAAAUGACCAACCGUACAUCAGUAAAAAGAAAUCAAUAAUUCAAUAAAGAACACUGAUGGUCAACAGAAAACGAAGGGACAAUCCACCGGGUGCUGAUCCAGUGCUCUUUCCCGUGCUGUACUCUUUGCAUUUCACUAGUGGCUUCGCGGUUGUUCCUGUCACCUGCCUGCGCUGACUGGCACAGUCCCUGUCACUGCCCCAGCUGGCACUUCAUCCCCCUCUGCUGCCGGAUGGCACAGCAGCCCUGCAGCUCCGCAGCGAGUCAAGCCCAGCGUUGCAUCUCCCUGCCCUGGUCACGGCGAAGGGCUCCUGUGCCCAGCCCGGCAGGGCAGCGGCAUCAGGUGCUUGCAAAGGUUGCAUUUCACUCCGGGAGCCGAAAGCCGAGUUGUUGGGAGUGACCUGGGAACUCGGCUCGUUUGAGAGCCCAGCCUGCAGCCCCGGGACAGCAGCAGCUGUCUGUCCCUCCUCUGAGAGGCGGGGGCAUUUCUGGAGGGAGCGUCACCCUCCGAGGCAGAGGACAGAGCUUAUGAAGGCUCGGUGCUUCUGGACUCUGACCCGCCACAGGACGUGCAAUGGCCGUGGAAGUGGAAACACCGAUUUUCUUUAGUGCUGUAGUGUGGAGAAUGCAAAACGUGUUUGAAGAGACAGUGCUUUUGUGGCUCCAAGCCAAUUCUAGGGAUGUUCAAGCGUUUCCGGAAACGGGUGUUCUUGCAACAACCUUCUUGUGAAUUAAUGAGAAAAUAGGGUGGGAAAAAAAUCAGCACAUCAAGUAGCUGUGACACACAGCACGGAAAAGUCUCCACCGGCCAGCCCACGCACAAGAAAAAGCCCGAUGGAAGGGCGGGGUGGCACAUCGGGGCCACCGGGCUGUCGGCAGCGGUUGUAGCGGCGGCAGCUCCAGGAGGCUGCCCGGCUGGAGAAGAAGGGACAGGGGGCGGGAAGAGUUUCUCGUCCAACUCUCUCUCGGGAGCAGCCAAACCGCGCGACUCCCGCUCGUUCCCGCGUUUACGGGAACACGGGGCGGGGCCGAGGAGCGACGGCUCCGCCAUCCGCUCGUCGGGGCUGCUGGGUCGGUCUUUGCGGGAGGCGGCUCUCCCGGUGCCCGGGCGGGGCUGCGCUGGGGUCCGUCUUGUGCCCGGCGGGCGGGCGGGCGGGGAGGGCGAGGCCGCUUGUGGGCACGCGUGGGUGCGCGGCCGGCGCCGCCGCUUGGCGGGCAGCUGGAGCGGGGGCAGCGGGUGUGUCCGCCGGGUCCGGCGGUGUCGGACGGUACGGAAAAAUGCCGUAGAAGAUGGUUGAGACUUUGCUGUAGUGUGAAGAAUGCAAAACGUGUUUGAAGAGACAGGGCUUUUGUGGCUCCAAGCCACUUCUAUGGAUGGUCAAGCGUUUCCAGAAAUCCUUCUUGCAACAGCCCUCUUGUGAGUCACAGACUUAGCCAAUGCUCACAAUCCUUAACACAAGCCCACGUGUAGCCAGGAGCAGGCUGAUGCAUUCUUCAGUUUAGCUUGAACAAACAGCCCUUGCGGGCUGGCAAAGGCAAGUCCCAGAGCUGCAGAGAGCAGCAGCAGGAAUGGAGGCCAAGCUUUGCCAGGUUCCUGAAGAGGGAGGACCUUGAGAAUGAGGCGCGGGACUGACCAUGCACCAAAGAAGAGCCCUGUUACGAAUUCCUGACCAAACCUGGGAAGAAGAAACAAAAUGCCAGAGAUGAGAUGACUGAAUGCAACAAGAAGACACAGCAGAGAUGACGGAGGAAAACAGCAAGAGGGGAAGGAGAGGAGGAGCAGAGGACAGGUAAGCAAACAAGAUCCUUGAAUCUCACCCCAUCCGAGGAGUGAUAGAAGGGUUCCCAAAGCCCAGAUUCUGAAUAAAAAGCAUACCUCGUAAGCUUCUCUCUCCACGUCUCUAAUUUGCUGCUCGGCCUCAGGUCUGCUCUGACAGUAGGCCACACUUCUCUGCCUCAUUUCAGCAUCUGGAUGCUUCAGAAGAAAUGUGUGAGCUGCUGCAAUAGCCUUUGCAAGGUUAUGAGCCUGAAGAGGGAUGGGAAAAAGAGGAAGAGGGGGAAAAGCGUUAACGGGGGAAAAAAAAAAAUCAAAGUUUCCCAGUUUUUGUCAACAAAUUUUCCUGCAGCUUCUAGAUUCCCAGCUUACUUGUACUGAAGCCACGGUCUCGGCAGAUACAAUCGUACACUAGAUCUGAUACAAUUCUUCUCAGUUUUACUAACAGAUGCAUAAUGAGGAAAUUCUUUUUAAUGUUAAAAUCUGUUAUUGUUGCAGAUAGCAUAGGUGAUGACUUGAAGUUAACAGAAGAGCAUUUUUCCCCUCCACUUGCCCUGUUCAUGAAGCUGACAAGGCAGAAGCAUAUACUGUUGCUCCUGUGUGGGAUUAGUCUCACAGCAAUUACUGAGGCCAGCCUGUGACUGCUGACCAGGAGCCAUCACCGCCCGUGUUUACACGGCGUUCGUGUCACUUCUUGGCCCAGCAGCACGCAAGACAAUAUCCCGAUAACGUAUCUGCCUGAUGGUGUUACAGAGUUCGAGCAAACGGCAGGGACCUGUGUGUGAUCUGCCGCAACAGCUUUUGGAAGGUCGUGAGCCUAAACAGGGGUGGGAAGAAGAGGAAAGGGAAAGGAAAAGUUAACUGGGAAAAAAAAUCCACGUUUCCCACUUUCUGUCAACAAACUCUCCUGCAGCCUCUCUGUUCCCCAGCUGACAUCUAGGGAAGCCACAGUCUCAGCAGAUACAAUGUUACACUAGAACUGAUACAAAUCUUUCCUGUUUUCUUACUAGAGGAGCAUGUUUUCCUAGGAGCAUGUUUGUUUUCAUGUCAAAAUCUGUUAUUGUAGCAGAUCGCAUCAUAAUGAUUGUAAGUUCAAAAGACGACUUUUUCUCCCUUCCUCCCGUACUGCAUUUCUAGUAUUUACAGAGGGAGAGAGAAAGGAAAAGGCUGAAGUAUUUGUAAAAUGUUAAGAAACUCUUCCUUUUUUCAGGCAAGGUGCAGGUCCCACGGUGUCCUUUGGUCUCCGACGUUCUCCAGUGGCGUCCUGUGGUUUCCAGCGGCCUUCUUCAGUCUCCCACGGUCUCCUGCAAUCUCCGGCGGUCUCCAGCGGGCUUCUGUGUGCAUGCAUUUAUAGCUGUUAUUGUCUGUAUGUACAUAUUUUUCUAAACUCUAUUGUCCAUAGACACACGUAUAGGGAGAAGGAGGAGAAAACCCAAGUCUUCAUUAUUUGCUGAAAUGUGAAAACCUUUUUCCUUUUUAAACCAAGACACAGAGCCAAUGGUGUCCUGUGGUUUCUAGCGGUGUCCUUCGGUCUCCGACGGUCUCCUGCGGUCUCCGGUGGUCUCGUGUGGGCUUCUGUGUGCACACAUUUAUCGAUUUAAUUUUCUAUUUUUACAUGUCUUUAUAAACUAUACAGUCUGCAUACACGUAUAUAGGGAGAAGGAGAGAAAAUUUGCCUCCGUUUUUAACGCAAACAUUUGUCCAAAGGUGUAAGAACCGUGUCUUUGAAUUCCCACAAUUCCUUCCAACAGACGUUUUAUUUACUUCAAAAGAACCACCUUCAGAGGAGGAAUCCCGCCACGGCACUAUGGGACGAGGAGCAGGAACAGAGGUGACACAGGACCCAUCUCACGUUUGUUUCCACAACUCUCCCCAAGCACAGGAUGUUUCGAAAGAUGGACCCAAUUGGAAAUCACUCUGCGUGUGAAAUUGGGACCAUGUUUUUGAAACACCCUGUAGUAUUGCUGGAGACACAUCCCCUGGUCCCUCUGCUUCCAAAUUUGCAUGAAGCCUUGUGUCGAGUCCCCAGCUCCAUUCAAGAGAGUCUGGUUAGGCACUGGCAAAACCAGUGUUCGUCCUGUACCAUGUAUGAAUCAAAAAAUUUGUCGCACACCAUUUUCCCCUUGUAAAAGAAAGGCAAACGAAUAUCCAAAAAAUCCCCAAACGUAUGAAAAUGACCAACCGUACAUCAGUAAAAAGAAAUCAAUAAUUCAAUAAAGAACACUGAUGGUCAACAGAAAACGAAGGGACAAUCCACCGGGUGCUGAUCCAGUGCUCUUUCCCGUGCUGUACUCUUUGCAUUUCACUAGUGGCUUCGCGGUUGUUCCUGUCACCUGCCUGCGCUGACUGGCACAGUCCCUGUCACUGCCCCAGCUGGCACUUCAUCCCCCUCUGCUGCCGGAUGGCACAGCAGCCCUGCAGCUCCGCAGCGAGUCAAGCCCAGCGUUGCAUCUCCCUGCCCUGGUCACGGCGAAGGGCUCCUGUGCCCAGCCCGGCAGGGCAGCGGCAUCAGGUGCUUGCAAAGGUUGCAUUUCACUCCGGGAGCCGAAAGCCGAGUUGUUGGGAGUGACCUGGGAACUCGGCUCGUUUGAGAGCCCAGCCUGCAGCCCCGGGACAGCAGCAGCUGUCUGUCCCUCCUCUGAGAGGCGGGGGCAUUUCUGGAGGGAGCGUCACCCUCCGAGGCAGAGGACAGAGCUUAUGAAGGCUCGGUGCUUCUGGACUCUGACCCGCCACAGGACGUGCAAUGGCCGUGGAAGUGGAAACAUCGAUUUUCUUUAGUGCUGUAGUGUGAAGAAUGCAAAACGUGUUUGAAGAGACAGUGCUUUUUUGGCUCCAAGCCAAUUCUAGGGAUGUUCAAGCGUUUCCGGAAACGGGUGUUCUUGCAACAACCUUCUUGUGAAUUAAUGAGAAAAUAGGGUGUGAAAAAAAUCAGCACAUCAAGUAGCUGUGACACACAGCACGGAAAAGUCUCCACCGGCCAGCCCACGCACAAGAAAAAGCCCGAUGGAAGGGCGGGGUGGCACAUCGGGGCCACCGGGCUGUCGGCAGCGGUUGUAGCGGCGGCAGCUCCAGGAGGCUGCCCGGCUGGAGAAGAAGGGACAGGGGGCGGGAAGAGUUUCUCGUCCAACUCUCUCUCGGGAGCAGCCAAACCGCGCGACUCCCGCUCGUUCCCGCGUUUACGGGAACACGGGGCGGGGCCGAGGAGCGACGGCUCCGCCAUCCGCUCGUCGGGGCUGCUGGGUCGGUCUUUGCGGGAGGCGGCUCUCCCGGUGCCCGGGCGGGGCUGCGCUGGGGUCCGUCUUGUGCCCGGCGGGCGGGCGGGGAGGGCGAGGCCGCUUGUGGGCACGCGUGGGUGCGCGGCCGGCGCCGCCGCUUGGCGGGCAGCUGGAGCGGGGGCAGCGGGUGUGUCCGCCGGGUCCGGCGGUGUCGGACGGUACGGAAAAAUGCCGUAGAAGAUGGUUGAGACUUUGCUGUAGUGUGAAGAAUGCAAAACGUGUUUGAAGAGACAGGGCUUUUGUGGCUCCAAGCCACUUCUAUGGAUGGUCAAGCGUUUCCAGAAAUCCUUCUUGCAACAGCCCUCUUGUGAGUCACAGACUUAGCCAAUGCUCACAAUCCUUAACACAAGCCCACGUGUAGCCAGGAGCAGGCUGAUGCAUUCUUCAGUUUAGCUUGAACAAACAGCCCUUGCGGGCUGGCAAAGGCAAGUCCCAGAGCUGCAGAGAGCAGCAGCAGGAAUGGAGGCCAAGCUUUGCCAGGUUCCUGAAGAGGGAGGACCUUGAGAAUGAGGCGCGGGACUGACCAUGCACCAAAGAAGAGCCCUGUUACGAAUUCCUGACCAAACCUGGGAAGAAGAAACAAAAUGCCAGAGAUGAGAUGACUGAAUGCAACAAGAACACACAGCAGAGAUGACGGAGGAAAACAGCAAGAGGGGAAGGAGAGGAGGAGCAGAGGACAGGUAAGCAAACAAGAUCCUUGAAUCUCACCCCAUCCGAGGAGUGAUAGAAGGGUUCCCAAAGCCCAGAUUCUGAAUAAAAAGCAUACCUCGUAAGCUUCUCUCUCCACGUCUCUAAUUUGCUGCUCGGCCUCAGGUCUGCUCUGACAGUAGGCCACACUUCUCUGCCUCAUUUCAGCAUCUGGAUGCUUCAGAAGAAAUGUGUGAGCUGCUGCAAUAGCCUUUGCAAGGUUAUGAGCCUGAAGAGGGAUGGGAAAAAGAGGAAGAGGGGGAAAAGCGUUAACGGGGGAAAAAAAAAAAUCAAAGUUUCCCAGUUUUUGUCAACAAAUUUUCCUGCAGCUUCUAGAUUCCCAGCUUACUUGUACUGAAGCCACGGUCUCGGCAGAUACAAUCGUACACUAGAUCUGAUACAAUUCUUCUCAGUUUUACUAACAGAUGCAUAAUGAGGAAAUUCUUUUUAAUGUUAAAAUCUGUUAUUGUUGCAGAUAGCAUAGGUGAUGACUUGAAGUUAACAGAAGAGCAUUUUUCCCCUCCACUUGCCCUGUUCAUGAAGCUGACAAGGCAGAAGCAUAUACUGUUGCUCCUGUGUGGGAUUAGUCUCACAGCAAUUACUGAGGCCAGCCUGUGACUGCUGACCAGGAGCCAUCACCGCCCGUGUUUACACGGCGUUCGUGUCACUUCUUGGCCCAGCAGCACGCAAGACAAUAUCCCGAUAACGUAUCUGCCUGAUGGUGUUACAGAGUUCGAGCAAACGGCAGGGACCUGUGUGUGAUCUGCCGCAACAGCUUUUGGAAGGUCGUGAGCCUAAACAGGGGUGGGAAGAAGAGGAAAGGGAAAGGAAAAGUUAACUGGGAAAAAAAAAUCCACGUUUCCCACUUUCUGUCAACAAACUCUCCUGCAGCCUCUCUGUUCCCCAGCUGACAUCUAGGGAAGCCACAGUCUCAGCAGAUACAAUGUUACACUAGAACUGAUACAAAUCUUUCCUGUUUUCUUACUAGAGGAGCAUGUUUUCCUAGGAGCAUGUUUGUUUUAAUGUCAAAAUCUGUUAUUGUAGCAGAUCGCAUCAUAAUGAUUGUAAGUUCAAAAGACGACUUUUUCUCCCUUCCUCCCGUACUGCAUUUCUAGUAUUUACAGAGGGAGAGAGAAAGGAAAAGGCUGAAGUAUUUGUAAAAUGUUAAGAAACUCUUCCUUUUUUCAGGCAAGGUGCAGGUCCCACGGUGUCCUUUGGUCUCCGACGUUCUCCAGUGGCGUCCUGUGGUUUCCAGCGGCCUUCUUCAGUCUCCCACGGUCUCCUGCAAUCUCCGGCGGUCUCCAGCGGGCUUCUGUGUGCCUGCAUUUAUAGCUGUUAUUGUCUAUAUGUACAUAUUUUUCUAAACUCUAUUGUCUAUAGACACACGUAUCGGGAGAAGGAGGGAGAAAACCCAAGUCUUCAUUAUUUGCUGAAAUGUGAAAACCUUUUUCCUUUUUAAACCAAGACACAGAGCCAAUGGUGUCCUGUGGUUUCUAGCGGUGUCCUUCGGUCUCCGACGGUCUCCUGCGGUCUCCGGUGGUCUCGUGUGGGCUUCUGUGUGCACACAUUUAUCGAUUUAAUUUUCUAUUUUUACAUGUCUUUAUAAACUAUACAGUCUGCAUACACGUAUAUAGGGAGAAGGAGAGAAAAUUUGCCUCCGUUUUUAACGCAAACAUUUGUCCAAAGGUGUAAGAACCGUGUCUUUGAAUUCCCACAAUUCCUUCCAACAGACGUUUUAUUUACUUCAAAAGAACCACCUUCAGAGGAGGAAUCCCGCCACGGCACUAUGGGACGAGGAGCAGGAACAGAGGUGACACAGGACCCAUCUCACGUUUGUUUCCACAACUCUCCCCAAGCACAGGAUGUUUCGGAAAGAUGGACCCAAUUGGAAAUCACUCUGCGUGUGAAAUUGGGACCAUGUUUUUGAAACACCCUGUAGUAUUGCUGGAGACACAUCCCCUGGUCCCUCUGCUUCCAAAUUUGCAUGAAGCCUUGUGUCGAGUCCCCAGCUCCAUUCAAGAGAGUCUGGUUAGGCACUGGCAAAACCAGUGUUCGUCCUGUACCAUGUAUGAAUCAAAAUUUGUCGCACACCAUUUUCCCCUUGUAAAAGAAAGGCAAACGAAUAUCCAAAAAAUCCCCAAACGUAUGAAAAUGACCAACCGUACAUCAGUAAAAAGAAAUCAAUAAUUCAAUAAAGAACACUGAUGGUCAACAGAAAACGAAGGGACAAUCCACCGGGUGCUGAUCCAGUGCUCUUUCCCGUGCUGUACUCUUUGCAUUUCACUAGUGGCUUCGCGGUUGUUCCUGUCACCUGCCUGCGCUGACUGGCACAGUCCCUGUCACUGCCCCAGCUGGCACUUCAUCCCCCUCUGCUGCCGGAUGGCACAGCAGCCCUGCAGCUCCGCAGCGAGUCAAGCCCAGCGUUGCAUCUCCCUGCCCUGGUCACGGCGAAGGGCUCCUGUGCCCAGCCCGGCAGGGCAGCGGCAUCAGGUGCUUGCAAAGGUUGCAUUUCACUCCGGGAGCCGAAAGCCGAGUUGUUGGGAGUGACCUGGGAACUCGGCUCGUUUGAGAGCCCAGCCUGCAGCCCCGGGACAGCAGCAGCUGUCUGUCCCUCCUCUGAGAGGCGGGGGCAUUUCUGGAGGGAGCGUCACCCUCCGAGGCAGAGGACAGAGCUUAUGAAGGCUCGGUGCUUCUGGACUCUGACCCGCCACAGGACGUGCAAUGGCCGUGGAAGUGGAAACACCGAUUUUCUUUAGUGCUGUAGUGUGAAGAAUGCAAAACGUGUUUGAAGAGACAGUGCUUUUUUGGCUCCAAGCCAAUUCUAGGGAUGUUCAAGCGUUUCCGGAAACGGGUGUUCUUGCAACAACCUUCUUGUGAAUUAAUGAGAAAAUAGGGUGGGAAAAAAAUCAGCACAUCAAGUAGCUGUGACACACAGCACGGAAAAGUCUCCACCGGCCAGCCCACGCACAAGAAAAAGCCCGAUGGAAGGGCGGGGUGGCACAUCGGGGCCACCGGGCUGUCGGCAGCGGUUGUAGCGGCGGCAGCUCCAGGAGGCUGCCCGGCUGGAGAAGAAGGGACAGGGGGCGGGAAGAGUUUCUCGUCCAACUCUCUCUCGGGAGCAGCCAAACCGCGCGACUCCCGCUCGUUCCCGCGUUUACGGGAACACGGGGCGGGGCCGAGGAGCGACGGCUCCGCCAUCCGCUCGUCGGGGCUGCUGGGUCGGUCUUUGCGGGAGGCGGCUCUCCCGGUGCCCGGGCGGGGCUGCGCUGGGGUCCGUCUUGUGCCCGGCGGGCGGGCGGGGAGGGCGAGGCCGCUUGUGGGCACGCGUGGGUGCGCGGCCGGCGCCGCCGCUUGGCGGGCAGCUGGAGCGGGGGCAGCGGGUGUGUCCGCCGGGUCCGGCGGUGUCGGACGGUACGGAAAAAUGCCGUAGAAGAUGGUUGAGACUUUGCUGUAGUGUGAAGAAUGCAAAACGUGUUUGAAGAGACAGGGCUUUUGUGGCUCCAAGCCACUUCUAUGGAUGGUCAAGCGUUUCCAGAAAUCCUUCUUGCAACAGCCCUCUUGUGAGUCACAGACUUAGCCAAUGCUCACAAUCCUUAACACAAGCCCACGUGUAGCCAGGAGCAGGCUGAUGCAUUCUUCAGUUUAGCUUGAACAAACAGCCCUUGCGGGCUGGCAAAGGCAAGUCCCAGAGCUGCAGAGAGCAGCAGCAGGAAUGGAGGCCAAGCUUUGCCAGGUUCCUGAAGAGGGAGGACCUUGAGAAUGAGGCGCGGGACUGACCAUGCACCAAAGAAGAGCCCUGUUACGAAUUCCUGACCAAACCUGGGAAGAAGAAACAAAAUGCCAGAGAUGAGAUGACUGAAUGCAACAAGAAGACACAGCAGAGAUGACGGAGGAAAACAGCAAGAGGGGAAGGAGAGGAGGAGCAGAGGACAGGUAAGCAAACAAGAUCCUUGAAUCUCACCCCAUCCGAGGAGUGAUAGAAGGGUUCCCAAAGCCCAGAUUCUGAAUAAAAAGCAUACCUCGUAAGCUUCUCUCUCCACGUCUCUAAUUUGCUGCUCGGCCUCAGGUCUGCUCUGACAGUAGGCCACACUUCUCUGCCUCAUUUCAGCAUCUGGAUGCUUCAGAAGAAAUGUGUGAGCUGCUGCAAUAGCCUUUGCAAGGUUAUGAGCCUGAAGAGGGAUGGGAAAAAGAGGAAGAGGGGGAAAAGCGUUAACGGGGGAAAAAAAAAAAUCAAAGUUUCCCAGUUUUUGUCAACAAAUUUUCCUGCAGCUUCUAGAUUCCCAGCUUACUUGUACUGAAGCCACGGUCUCGGCAGAUACAAUCGUACACUAGAUCUGAUACAAUUCUUCUCAGUUUUACUAACAGAUGCAUAAUGAGGAAAUUCUUUUUAAUGUUAAAAUCUGUUAUUGUUGCAGAUAGCAUAGGUGAUGACUUGAAGUUAACAGAAGAGCAUUUUUCCCCUCCACUUGCCCUGUUCAUGAAGCUGACAAGGCAGAAGCAUAUACUGUUGCUCCUGUGUGGGAUUAGUCUCACAGCAAUUACUGAGGCCAGCCUGUGACUGCUGACCAGGAGCCAUCACCGCCCGUGUUUACACGGCGUUCGUGUCACUUCUUGGCCCAGCAGCACGCAAGACAAUAUCCCGAUAACGUAUCUGCCUGAUGGUGUUACAGAGUUCGAGCAAACGGCAGGGACCUGUGUGUGAUCUGCCGCAACAGCUUUUGGAAGGUCGUGAGCCUAAACAGGGGUGGGAAGAAGAGGAAAGGGAAAGGAAAAGUUAACUGGGAAAAAAAAAUCCACGUUUCCCACUUUCUGUCAACAAACUCUCCUGCAGCCUCUCUGUUCCCCAGCUGACAUCUAGGGAAGCCACAGUCUCAGCAGAUACAAUGUUACACUAGAACUGAUACAAAUCUUUCCUGUUUUCUUACUAGAGGAGCAUGUUUUCCUAGGAGCAUGUUUGUUUUAAUGUCAAAAUCUGUUAUUGUAGCAGAUCGCAUCAUAAUGAUUGUAAGUUCAAAAGACGACUUUUUCUCCCUUCCUCCCGUACUGCAUUUCUAGUAUUUACAGAGGGAGAGAGAAAGGAAAAGGCUGAAGUAUUUGUAAAAUGUUAAGAAACUCUUCCUUUUUUCAGGCAAGGUGCAGGUCCCACGGUGUCCUUUGGUCUCCGACGUUCUCCAGUGGCGUCCUGUGGUUUCCAGCGGCCUUCUUCAGUCUCCCACGGUCUCCUGCAAUCUCCGGCGGUCUCCAGCGGGCUUCUGUGUGCAUGCAUUUAUAGCUGUUAUUGUCUGUAUGUACAUAUUUUUCUAAACUCUAUUGUCCAUAGACACACGUAUAGGGAGAAGGAGGGAGAAAACCCAAGUCUUCAUUAUUUGCUGAAAUGUGAAAACCUUUUUCCUUUUUAAACCAAGACACAGAGCCAA
Columba livia (rock pigeon) is the source of this 35679-nucleotide long non-coding RNA. RefSeq lists it as uncharacterized. The transcript has 22 exons. The record is from RefSeq and is a predicted model, not a curated record. NCBI's taxonomy places the organism in Eukaryota, Metazoa, Chordata, Aves, Columbiformes, Columbidae.